UUAGGUCUGGAUUCAUUAUAUAUGGUCUACUUAGUUUUUUAUUUUUUAUUUUUGUUAAAUGAAUGUAUUAUCAUAUAUUUGUAUUUCCUUCCUUUUAAAUAUAAUUUCCCCUUAUUAAUUUUUCUCUUCCUCUUUUUUCAUAUAUCUGGAUUCAUUAUGUAGACAGAUGCAAUACAAGCUAGCGUCAAAGAGAUCGACUAUGAUUUUGUAGCUCCAAAAAUA
RNAcentral lists this long non-coding RNA (222 nucleotides) under Prunus persica (peach). RNAcentral's name for it is "long non-coding RNA (PPER_LNC008222)". The record is from RNAcentral. Lineage: Eukaryota; Viridiplantae; Streptophyta; Magnoliopsida; Rosales; Rosaceae.